RNAcentral lists this ribosomal RNA (500 nucleotides) under uncultured bacterium. RNAcentral's name for it is "partial 16S ribosomal RNA". It matches the Rfam family "Bacterial small subunit ribosomal RNA", at positions 30 to 523 of the family's 1533-position model. The record is from RNAcentral.
AUUGAACGCUGGCGGCAUGCCUUACACAUGCAAGUCGAACGGCAGCACGGGAGCAAUCCUGGUAGCGAGUGGCGAACGGGUGAGUAAAGUAUCGGAACGUGCCCAGUCGUGGGGGAUAACGCAGCGAAAGUUACGCUAAUACCGCAUACGAUCUAUGGAUGAAAGCGGGGGAUCGCAAGACCUCGCGCGAUUGGAGCGGCCGAUAUCAGAUUAGGUAGUUGGUGGGGUAAAGGCUCACCAAGCCGACGAUCUGUAGCAGGUCUGAGAGGACGACCAGCCACAAUGGGACUGAGACACGGCCCAGACUCCUACGGGAGGCAGCAGUGGGGAAUUUUGGACAAUGGGCGAAAGCCUGAUCCAGCCAUGCCGCGUGCAGGAUGAAGGCCUUCGGGUUGUAAACUGCUUUUGUACGGAACGAAAAGGUUUGGGCUAAUAAGCUGAGCUCAUGACGGUACCGUAAGAAUAAGCACCGGCUAACUACGUGCCAGCAGCCGCGGUAA